AGAAUCAACGCUGGCGGCGUGCCUAACACAUGCAAGUCGAACGAGAAAGUGGGAGCAAUCCCACGAGUAAAGUGGCGCACGGGUGAGUAACACGUGACUAACCUACCCUUGAGUGGGGGAUAACCUAGGGAAACCUGGGCUAAUACCGCAUAAUACCUACGGGUCAAAAGGAGCAAUUCGCUUUAGGAGGGGGUCGCGGCAGAUUAGUUAGUUGGCGGGGUAAUGGCCCACCAAGACAGUGAUCUGUAUCCGGCCUGAGAGGGCGCACGGACACACUGGAACUGAAACACGGUCCAGACUCCUACGGGAGGCAGCAGUGGGGAAUUUUGCGCAAUGGGGGAAACCCUGACGCAGCAACGCCGCGUGGAGGAUGAAGCCCCUUGGGGCGUAAACUCCUUUCGAUCGGGAAGAUAAUGACGGUACCGGAAGAAGAAGCCCCGGCUAACUUCGCGCCAGCAGCCGC
RNAcentral lists this ribosomal RNA (463 nucleotides) under uncultured bacterium. RNAcentral describes it as "SSU rRNA". It matches the Rfam family "Bacterial small subunit ribosomal RNA", at positions 26 to 518 of the family's 1533-position model. The record is from RNAcentral.